Molecule: non-coding RNA, 73 nt
Organism: Candidatus Wildermuthbacteria bacterium
Lineage: Bacteria; Candidatus Wildermuthiibacteriota
Source: Rfam
GCGCCCGUAGCUCAACGGAUAGAGUACCUGACUUCGGAUCAGGGGGUUGAGGGUUCGAAUCCUUCCGGGCGCA